RNAcentral lists this unclassified non-coding RNA (250 nucleotides) under Hevea brasiliensis (rubber tree). Lineage: Eukaryota; Viridiplantae; Streptophyta; Magnoliopsida; Malpighiales; Euphorbiaceae. The record is from RNAcentral.
UGGACCACGAUCAUCACCUUCGCGGUGUCGGUCAUUCUGGUGCUGCGGUUCGAUCCGGGCCAGCCGGGCUUCCAGUUCGUCGAGAAGACGGCCUGGCUCGCCAACGGCAUCGGCUAUCACAUGGGUGUGGACGGCAUUUCGCUGCCGUUCGUAAUCCUGACCACGGCACUGAUGCCGUUCUGCAUUCUCGCAAGCUGGAAGUCGGUCACACUGCGCGUGCGCGAGUACAUGAUGGCGUUUCUUUUCCUUG